GCGAUGGUGGUUCAGAGGUAGAAUUUUUGCUUUCCAUGCAGGAGACCCAGGUUUGAUUCCUAGCCAAUGCA
This 71-nucleotide transfer RNA is filed under the name Loxodonta africana (African savanna elephant). It matches the Rfam family "tRNA". From Rfam's summary of the family: Transfer RNA (tRNA) molecules are approximately 80 nucleotides in length. Their secondary structure includes four short double-helical elements and three loops (D, anti-codon, and T loops). Further hydrogen bonds mediate the characteristic L-shaped molecular structure. tRNAs have two regions of fundamental functional importance: the anti-codon, which is responsible for specific mRNA codon recognition, and the 3' end, to which the tRNAs corresponding amino acid is attached (by aminoacyl-tRNA synthetases). tRNAs cope with the degeneracy of the genetic code in two manners: having more than one tRNA (with a specific anti-codon) for a particular amino acid; and 'wobble' base-pairing, i.e. permitting non-standard base-pairing at the 3rd anti-codon position. The record is from Rfam by way of RNAcentral. Lineage: Eukaryota; Metazoa; Chordata; Mammalia; Proboscidea; Elephantidae.